Molecule: ribosomal RNA, 443 nt
Filed under: uncultured bacterium
Lineage: Bacteria
Description: partial 16S ribosomal RNA
Rfam family: Bacterial small subunit ribosomal RNA
Source: RNAcentral
AAAAGAAGAUCAAGAAGAGCUUCAGAAUGAAGCUUUCUUGAUGGAGGGGAGCGGCAGACGGGUGAGUAACACGUGGGAAUCUACCCAUCCCUGCGGAACAACUCCGGGAAACUGGAGCUAAUACCGCAUACGCCCUUCGGGGGAAAGAUUUAUCGGGGAUGGAUGAGCCCGCGUUGGAUUAGCUAGUUGGUGGGGUAAAGGCCUACCAAGGCGACGAUCCAGAGCGGGUCUGAGAGGAUGAUCAGCCCCAUUGGGACUGAGACACGGCCCAAACUCCUACGGGAGGCAGCAGUGGGGAAUAUUGGACAAUGGGCGCAAGCCUGAUCCAGCCAUGCCGCGUGAGUGAUGAAGGCCUUAGGGUUGUAAAGCUCUUUCACCGAUGAAGAUAAUGACGGUAGUCGGAGAAGAAGCCCCGGCUAACUUCGUGCCAGCAGCCGCGGUAA